GAUGAAGAACGUAGCGAAAUGCGAAACGUAAUGUGAAUUGCAGAAUUCAGUGAAUCAUCGAGUCUUUGAACGCACAUUGCGCCCCCUGGUAUUCCGGGGGGCAUGCCUGUCCGAGCGUCAUUGCUGCCCUCAAGCACGGCUUGUGUGUUGGGCCUCCGUCCUCCUCCCGGGGGACGGGCCCGAAAGGCAGCGGCGGCACCGCGUCCGGUCCUCGAGCGUAUGGGGCUUCGUCACCCGCUCUUGUAGGCCCGGCCGGCGCUUGCCGACACAUCAAUCUUUUUUCCAGGUUGACCUCGGAUCAGGUAGGGAUACCCGCUGAACUUAAGCAUAUCAAUAAGCGGAGGA
This 345-nucleotide unclassified non-coding RNA is filed under the name soil metagenome. Its description in RNAcentral is "partial contains 5.8S ribosomal RNA, internal transcribed spacer 2, and large subunit ribosomal RNA". The stretch from base 1 to 120 matches the Rfam family "5.8S ribosomal RNA", at positions 35 to 154 of the family's 154-position model. The record is from RNAcentral.